GAUGGCAACCACUAUUUCUUAUGACUGCUCCAGUGUGUGGGUGACAACAUGCUGCUUCUAAGGCAGCAGCUCAUCCCAACGUCUCCUACCUGGUCCUUGAGUGGUGACUCUCUCAUUCCUCUCACUGUCCUGGCAUUUCCUCUACGUUCAUGUCUUGCUAGAACGGUGUGAAUUGACAGAAUAUCUGCGGGGUUUUACGUAGUAUAUGGCUGCCCACAAGAUGUUUACUGAGUACCAUCUAUGUUCCAGGCACUCGACAUGGGAAUACCCAAAGCUGACCAGGAAUUUGUUCUCAAAGUGCUCACAGGGACCUAGACAAAUGCACAGGAACUUAGAAUCCAACCUGAACCAAACCCAGGAAGGCUUCCUGAAAGAGGCAAUCUCAAAAUGAAGACAAAAUCACAUUUAGAAUGGAUGAAUAAUAAGGUCCUAAUAUAUAGCACAGGGAACUAUAUUCAAUAUCCUGUGAUAAACC
Long non-coding RNA from Bos taurus (domestic cattle), 475 nucleotides. The record is from Ensembl. NCBI's taxonomy places the organism in Eukaryota, Metazoa, Chordata, Mammalia, Artiodactyla, Bovidae.